This 348-nucleotide ribosomal RNA is filed under the name uncultured fungus. Its description in RNAcentral is "SSU rRNA". It matches the Rfam family "Eukaryotic small subunit ribosomal RNA", at positions 20 to 371 of the family's 1831-position model. The record is from RNAcentral. Lineage: Eukaryota; Fungi.
GUAGUCAUAUGCUUGUCUCAAAGAUUAAGCCAUGCAUGUCUAAGUAUAAACAAUCUAUACUGUGAAACUGCGAAUGGCUCAUUAAAUCAGUUAUCGUUUAUUUGAUAGUACCUUACUACAUGGAUACCUGUGGUAAUUCUAGAGCUAAUACAUGCUAAAAACCCCGACUUCGGGAGGGGUGUAUUUAUUAGAUAAAAAACCAAUGCCCCUCGGGGCUCCUUGGUGAAUCAUAAUAACUUAACGAAUCGCAUGGCCUUGCGCCGGCGAUGGUUCAUUCAAAUUUCUGCCCUAUCAACUUUCGAUGGUAGGAUAGUGGCCUACCAUGGUGGCAACGGGUAACGGGGAAUG